UACGUAGGGUGCGAGCGUUGUCCGGAAUUAUUGGGCGUAAAGAGCUCGUAGGCGGUGUGUCGCGUCGGUCGUGAAAACUUUCAGCUUAACUGGGAGCUUGCGGUCGAUACGGGCAUCACUUGAGUUCGGCAGGGGAGACUGGAAUUCCUGGUGUAGCGGUGAAAUGCGCAGAUAUCAGGAGGAACACCGGUGGCGAAGGCGGGUCUCUGGGCCGAUACUGACGCUGAGGAGCGAAAGCGUGGGGAGCGAACAGG
RNAcentral lists this non-coding RNA (254 nucleotides) under uncultured bacterium. Its description in RNAcentral is "partial 16S ribosomal RNA". It matches the Rfam family "Bacterial small subunit ribosomal RNA", at positions 524 to 776 of the family's 1533-position model. The record is from RNAcentral. RNAcentral also lists the same sequence under 1 other name.